AACGGAAGAAUAAAUAAAUCAUGCAUUUCAGUAUUGUGUUGUUUUCUAGAUCCUAAAGGUUAAACGGCGAGGGGUUUGAGAUGAUCUGUUUUCAAGGAAGCUGUGGAUCGACUAUUCUUGUAUGAGAUGCUUCCCAGGGUCCUAUUCGUAUUUGGCUUGGUGAUUUGGAUCAGACUCGGGGAGAGGCUACAAAGGAAGGCAAAUCGGAGAUGAGUUUGGCGUUUGAUAUUGUGGUUGCUGGUUGCCCAUGGCUAGAGGAGAUUGAGAAGCCAUGGCCCCUACUAUCCUUCACUCCCAUGCCAGAAGCUUUGAGUCCUAUUUCCUUCAAGAGAUUUCUUUCCAUUUGCAAGGGUGUGGGUUCUCAAUGGCUUGGAUAGUUUGGUACUGGGAGAUGUCUCUUGGCUUUGCAGUUGUUCUUCCCUAUCAUGUCUUCCGAUGGACAGUUUUUCCUAAUGACGGUCUUUUUAGGUUUUUGGCAGUCUAGGGUUUGACUGUUUAGGGUUUUGGGCUUAUUCUUGGACAUGUGUUUAGGAUGGGACUUAUUUAUAAUUCUAGGCCUUGAGCCUUGAACUCUGUAAGCUUGAAGAAUAGAGAUGGACAAAUAUUGUUGGUUGUU
This 616-nucleotide unclassified non-coding RNA is filed under the name Hevea brasiliensis (rubber tree). Lineage: Eukaryota; Viridiplantae; Streptophyta; Magnoliopsida; Malpighiales; Euphorbiaceae. The record is from RNAcentral.